Cucumis melo (muskmelon) is the source of this 685-nucleotide long non-coding RNA. RefSeq lists it as uncharacterized. NCBI's taxonomy places the organism in Eukaryota, Viridiplantae, Streptophyta, Magnoliopsida, Cucurbitales, Cucurbitaceae. The record is from RefSeq and is a predicted model, not a curated record. The transcript has 2 exons.
AUCAGCCCUCACACUCACCAACCCACCAAAAUACAGCUGUUUCCUUUGUCCUCAACCCACAAUUUUAGUUCCAAAAAACCUAAUAAACAACAAACUUAUUCUUACUCUAAUAAAUACCUCCCAAUCCUCAAUCUCUCAGUGCAUUGUGAUAUACAUUCCCAGGUUUUCUUUUCACUGAUAUCCCCAAACUAACACUUGUUAGCAAUAUGAAAAAGCUUUUCUUUUUCACAUUUUUGCUUUGCUUUCUUCUCUUCACAUCUUCCUUCAUAGACACUGUCAAUGCCAAGCCUGUGUUUUGCGACAAGAAAUGCAAGAAGAGAUGCUCAAGGGCAGGAGUGAAGGAUAGAUGCAUGAAGUAUUGUGGGAUUUGCUGUGGGUAUUGUAAGUGUGUUCCUUCUGGAACUUAUGGGAACAAACAUGAGUGCCCUUGUUAUAGGGACAUGAGAAGUUCUAAGGGUAGGCCCAAGUGCCCUUGAGAUGUCAAAUGCCUCCUCAACAACUAUGCAAUGUAAUCGUUUUCUAAAAAUUUGAUACACUAAAUGUUGAGUGGUUAAGUUGAGCGUUGUUUGUAAGUUUGCAUGAGUUCAUAGAUAAUGUUCUUCUAAACUUUAUGGACGAGUCAAGAGAUGUGUUUAUCAAUAAAAAUAAUCUCUAUCUUUAAUGUGAGAUGUUGAGAUUUAAACAA